GACGAACGCUGGCGGCGUGCUUAACACAUGCAAGUCGAACGGAAAGGCCCUGCUUUUGUGGGGUGCUCGAGUGGCGAACGGGUGAGUAACACGUGAGUAACCUGCCCUUGACUUUGGGAUAACUUCAGGAAACUGGGGCUAAUACCGGAUAGGAGCUCCUGCUGCAUGGUGGGGGUUGGAAAGUUUCGGCGGUUGGGGAUGGACUCGCGGCUUAUCAGCUUGUUGGUGGGGUAGUGGCUUACCAAGGCUUUGACGGGUAGACGGCCUGAGAGGGUGACCGGCCACAUUGGGACUGGAAUGCGGCCCAGACUCCUACGGGAGGCAGCAGUGGGGAAUAUUGCACAAUGGGCGGAAGCCUGAUGCAGCAACGCCGCGUGGGGGAUGACGGCCUUCGGGUUGUAAACCGCUUUCGCCUGCGACGAAGCGUGAGUGACGGUAAUGGGUAAAGAAGCACCGGCUAACUACGUG
This 468-nucleotide ribosomal RNA is filed under the name uncultured bacterium. RNAcentral describes it as "partial 16S ribosomal RNA". It matches the Rfam family "Bacterial small subunit ribosomal RNA", at positions 28 to 507 of the family's 1533-position model. The record is from RNAcentral.